GACGAACGCUGGCGGCGUGCUUAACACAUGCAAGUCGUACGGUAAGGCCCUUUUGGGGGUACACGAGUGGCGAACGGGUGAGUAACACGUGAGUAACUUGCCCACAACUUUGGGAUAACGCUAGGAAACUGGUGCUAAUUCCGGAUAUGUGCUCCUGCUGCAUGGUGGGGGUUGGUAAGCUCCGGCGGUUGUGGAUGGACUUGCGGCCUAUCAGCUUGUUGGUGGGGUAGUGGCCUACCAAGGCGGCGACGGGUAGCCGGACUGAGAGGGUGACCGGCCACAUUGGGACUGAGAGACGGCCCAGGCGCCUACGGGAGGCAGCAGGGGGGAAGAUUGCACAAGGGGCGCAAGCCUGAUGCAGCAGCGCCGCGGGCGGGAUGACGGCCUUCGGGUUGUAAACCGCUUUCAGCAGGGACGAAGCUUUUUGUGACGGUACCUGCAGAAGAAGCACCGGCUAACUACGUG
RNAcentral lists this ribosomal RNA (465 nucleotides) under uncultured bacterium. RNAcentral describes it as "partial 16S ribosomal RNA". It matches the Rfam family "Bacterial small subunit ribosomal RNA", at positions 28 to 507 of the family's 1533-position model. The record is from RNAcentral.